This 304-nucleotide ribosomal RNA is filed under the name uncultured bacterium. RNAcentral describes it as "partial 16S ribosomal RNA". It matches the Rfam family "Bacterial small subunit ribosomal RNA", at positions 506 to 807 of the family's 1533-position model. The record is from RNAcentral.
CAGCAGCAGCCGCGGGAAUACGAAGGGUGCAAGCGUUAAUCGGAAUUACUGGGCGUAAAGCGUGCGUAGGCGGUUUGUUAAGUCUGCUGUGAAAUCCCCGGGCUCAACCUGGGAAUGGCAGUGGAUACUGGCAAGCUAGAGUGUGUCAGAGGAUGGUGGAAUUCCCGGUGUAGCGGUGAAAUGCGUAGAGAUCGGGAGGAACAUCAGUGGCGAAGGCGGCCAUCUGGGACAACACUGACGCUGAGGCACGAAAGCGUGGGGAGCAAACAGGAUUAGAUACCCCUGUAGUCCCUGUCUCUUAUAC